Molecule: RNA transcript, 2109 nt
Organism: Gallus gallus (chicken)
Lineage: Eukaryota; Metazoa; Chordata; Aves; Galliformes; Phasianidae
Gene: NECAP2
Gene name: NECAP endocytosis associated 2
Exons: 8
Source: RefSeq, marked provisional
GGCGCCCUUCCGUCGUGCUGGCUGCCAUGGAGGAGGACUACGAGGCGGUGCUGUGCGUGAAGCCGGCCGUGCACGUCUACCGAGUGCCGCCGAGGGCCUCCAACCGCGGCUACAGAGCUGCGGAGUGGCAGCUUGACCAGCCAGCAUGGAGCGGCAGGCUGCGCAUCACCGCCAAGGGCAAGACUGCCUUCAUCAAGCUGGAGGACAAGACCUCAGGAGAGCUUUUUGCCCAGGCCCCCGUGGAGCAAUUCCCUGGCAUUGCUGUGGAGAGUGUGACAGACUCCAGCAGAUAUUUCGUCCUCCGGAUCGAGGAUGGCAACGGCCGCCGUGCUUUCAUUGGAGUUGGAUUUGUUGAUCGAGGGGAUGCUUUUGACUUCAAUGUUGCUCUCCAGGACCAUUUUAAGUGGGUGAGGCAACAGAACGAGCUGGCCAAGCAGUCUGAGAACCCUGACCAGGCACCCAAACUGGACCUGGGCUUCAAGGAGGGGCAGACCAUCAAGCUUAACAUUGCGAAUAUGAAGAAAAAGGAAGGAGCAACAGGGAACACCAGGCCACGUCCUGCAGGCCCUGGGGGCCUAAGCUUGCUCCCACCACCUCCGGGAGGAAAAUCUUCCAUGCCAACUCUUCCUUCUGGAGAGCAGCUGCCAUCUUCACUCUCCACACCCACCCGACUCCCUGGUACCCCCAUCACAGACUCCCUGCUGUCCUGGCCACAGCCCACUGCUGCUCCUUCUGCCCCAACCACCGACGUCUGGGGUGACUUCACCAAAGCUUCAGGGUGAGGCCAUGUGGGGUUUGCAGGUUGCUUGGGCCGAUACCUGCAGCGUUAGAACCCAAUCCUGCUGGUUUUACUCUCACUGAAAUAGCAGCGGGGUGGGGGCACCCCCCCCACCUAAACAAGUUUUAAAAGGUCAGAUUCAAACCAGACGCAGGCAAAUGCAGGCUGGGUGCAGUUCUGAGCCAGCUCCUCGCAGGCACUGGAGAAAGAUUGUGCUGAUUUCUGCAGGACCAAAGCAGCAGUGGGAAGUGCUCCUGCUGCCUAAGGACACCUCACUUGUCACUUAUGGUGGCACUGUACUCCCCUGACCCCCUCUGACAAGAAACAAGACCCCAAAAUCUGGUGCUGGAGUUGAAAAGCAGAAAUUGGUGCUGGUUGAUAGAUGAGCACGUGCCUUACAAAACUCCACGCCAGCGCCCUCAGAGCUGGGGGCCUUUUCUGGGUAUUUUCUGCCUGGAUCACUGCAAACCGUUGAGGCUUCAGUGACCUUUCCUGUGCCUUCCUUCCUUCCUUCUUUACUGCACUAACAGGGCUGCACAAAUGUGGCAGCUUCGUGGCUCCCUGCGUCUCCUGGCUGACGUCAGAGUGCUCAGGGCACUGAUAGAGAUCUCAGCUGGCAGCACUUUUGCUGCCCAAUUUGGGCAUUUUCCUCUCAAUUCUGAUGCAAUACAGGUGAGUUGAGGUGUGCAGCGCGGGGCUGCCCCUAUCACCACUUCCACUUUCUCCUCGUGCAUUUGGACCACUGAAAUCUUUCAGUCUGGCAGGCAGUGGGGAGCAUCCCCCUGAAGACUUCUUGCGUGCAAGGCCUUGCUUUGCCUCCUGCUCACAGCACCAUGCAGGCAACGUCCUGCCCAGAUGCUGAGCAUCACCCCUGAUACUUCCUAGCACUUCCCUGCAAUGUGAGGGGUGAGGAGCACAACUGCUGUGUGCAGGUAAAUGUGAGCACAGUGCUCAAGUUCCUGUUUUCCUGCUCCAGUAAGGUUGGGUGUUUUUUCCCCCCUCUAUCUUGAAGAGAGAUUUUUCCUCUUCUUGCAGAGACUUUACUAUUGGAAUAUAUGCAAUGAAAGACAGACUUGGUCUCCUGAACAGAGCUGGGCUUGAGAUUCCUCUUUGAAAAACCUCCCAAGUAUUUUCUUACCUAUUUAUAUUACGGUGAAGGCCUUUCACAGUACAGAGUUCUGCUAUUUUUUUCAGUGUUUCAGACUUAAUUAUUAUUUCCAUUCUCAACUGGAACGGUGAGCAUUUCCAUUUCAGAGCUUUGCCUGGCAGCUCACAGGGCCGGGUGAGAGAUGUCCCACUUCCAAGUGAACAAUAAAAUCAUUUUGAUGCCA